CAGCAGUAGCCGCGGUAAUACGAAGGGUGCAAGCGUUACUCGGAAUUACUGGGCGUAAAGCGUGCGUAGGUGGUGGUUUAAGUCCGCUGUGAAAGCCCUGGGCUCAACCUGGGAAUUGCAGUGGAUACUGGAUCACUAGAGUGUGGUAGAGGAUAGUGGAAUUUCCGGUGUAGCAGUGAAAUGCGUAGAGAUCGGAAGGAACAUCUGUGGCGAAGGCGACUAUCUGGGCCAACACUGACGCUGAGGCACGAAAGCGUGGGGAGCAAACAGGAUUAGAUACCCCGGUAGUCCCUGUCUCUUAUAC
This 304-nucleotide ribosomal RNA is filed under the name uncultured bacterium. RNAcentral's name for it is "partial 16S ribosomal RNA". It matches the Rfam family "Bacterial small subunit ribosomal RNA", at positions 506 to 807 of the family's 1533-position model. The record is from RNAcentral.